This 406-nucleotide ribosomal RNA is filed under the name uncultured bacterium. RNAcentral's name for it is "partial 16S ribosomal RNA". It matches the Rfam family "Bacterial small subunit ribosomal RNA", at positions 28 to 526 of the family's 1533-position model. The record is from RNAcentral.
GAUGAACGCUGGCGGCGUGCUUAACACAUGCAAGUUGAACGAAGUGGCGGAUGGGCGAGUAACACGUGAGGAACCUGCCUUUCACUGGGGAAUAACACUGGGAAACCAGUGCUAAUACCGCAUACUAACGGAUGAACCCAUAUGGGAUUAGCUAGUAGGUGGGGUACAGGCUCACCUAGGUGAUGAUAAGUAGCAGGACGGACGGUUGAUCGGCCGCAUGGGGACUGAGACACGGCCCAGACUCCUACGGGAGGCAGCAGUGGGGAAUAUUGGGCAAUGGCGCAAGCCUGAACAAGGAACGCGGGGUGAAGGAAGACGGUCUUCGGAUUGUAAACUUCUUUAGACAGGGACGCGGUACCUGUAGAAUAAGCCACGGCUAACUACGUGCCAGCAGCCGCGGUAAUUC